ACAGGUCGUGCACGAAGACGCCCCCACCCCCACCCCUCAGUUAACCACACGCAGCGCAGAGAUCACACGAUGACAACCGUCUGUGGCCUGUCCUCGCCAGGAUCUCUGGCAGGUUAUCUCUCACCAGCUCCUGGAAGGGAGCCCAGGGGUCGUGGCCCCCCUCCUGGGGGCCCAGGGGCGCAGCCCCGACGACACUCACGGCUCGCGUUCUCCAGCCGGACCAGGCAGUUGAGGAAGUCAUCAAAGCCGAGCUGGAGGUUCUCGUCUGUGUACCUGAGGACAAUCAGCUGCAGGAGGCGACCGCUCAGCUGGAAGCCUGCGGGGAAGAGCGAGGAGACCCCAGCCGGUCAAAGGCCGGGCCCCGCGGGCGCACCUUCGGGAAGCGCCCAGCGCUCUGUCCACAAAGUGCGGGUUCUCAGGCCCAGCGGGGGGCCGCCGUCCUCAGACACUGCGUGUGUCCACUAGCUGACGAUGUUUCUGGAUGU
This 485-nucleotide long non-coding RNA is filed under the name Lynx pardinus (Iberian lynx). The record is from RNAcentral. Lineage: Eukaryota; Metazoa; Chordata; Mammalia; Carnivora; Felidae.